RNAcentral lists this ribosomal RNA (263 nucleotides) under uncultured Staphylococcus sp. Its description in RNAcentral is "partial 16S ribosomal RNA". It matches the Rfam family "Bacterial small subunit ribosomal RNA", at positions 99 to 354 of the family's 1533-position model. The record is from RNAcentral. Lineage: Bacteria; Bacillati; Bacillota; Bacilli; Caryophanales; Staphylococcaceae.
CGGACGGGUGAGUAACACGUGGAUAACCUACCUAUAAGACUGGGAUAACUUCGGGAAACCGGAGCUAAUACUGGAUAAUAUAUUGAACCGCAUGGUUCAAUAGUGAAAGACGGUUUUGCUGUCACUUAUAGAUGGAUCCGCGCCGCAUUAGCUAGUUGGUAAGGUAACGGCUUACCAAGGCAACGAUGCGUAGCCGACCUGAGAGGGUGAUCGGCCACACUGGAACUGAGACACGGUCCAGACUCCUACGGGAGGCAGCAGAA